AUUGCCCUAGUAACGGCGAGUGAAGCGGCAACAGCUCAAAUUUGAAAUCUGGCCUUCGGGUCCGAGUUGUAAUUUGUAGAGGAUGCUUUUGGUGAGGUGCCUUCCGAGUUCCCUGGAACGGGACGCCAUAGAGGGUGAGAGCCCCGUCUGGUUGGACACCGAUCCUCUGUAAAGCUCCUUCGACGAGUCGAGUAGUUUGGGAAUGCUGCUCUAAAUGGGAGGUAUAUGUCUUCUAAAGCUAAAUAUUGGCCAGAGACCGAUAGCGCACAAGUAGAGUGAUCGAAAGAUGAAAAGCACUUUGAAAAGAGAGUUAAAAAGUACGUGAAAUUGUUGAAAGGGAAGCGCUCAUGACCAGACUUGGGCUUGGUUGAUCAUCCAGGGUUCUCCCUGGUGCACUCUUCCAGUUCAGGCCAGCAUCAGUUCGCUGCGGGGGAUAAAGGCUUUGGGAAUGUGGCUCCUUCGGGAGUGUUAUAGCCCAUUGUGUAAUACCCUGUGGUGGACUGAGGUUCGCGCAUUCGCAAGGAUGCUGGCGUAAUGGUCAUCAGCGACCCGUCUUGAAACACGGACCAAGGAGUCGUCUUCGUAUGCGAGUGUUCGGGUGUUAAACCCCUACGCGUAAUGAAAGUGAACGCAGGUGAGAGCUUCGGCGCAUCAUCGACCGAUCCUGAUGUUCUCGGAUGGAUUUGAGUAAGAGCAUACGGGGCCGGACCCGAAAGAAGGUGAACUAUGCCUGUAUAGGGUGAAGCCAGAGGAAACUCUGGUGGAGGCUCGCAGCGGUUCUGACGUGCAAAUCGAUCGUCAAAUAUGGGCAUGGGGGCGAAAGACUAAUCGAACCUUCUAGUAGCUGGUUUCCGCCGA
This 858-nucleotide ribosomal RNA is filed under the name Cylindrocarpon didymum. Its description in RNAcentral is "LSU rRNA". It matches the Rfam family "Eukaryotic large subunit ribosomal RNA", at positions 74 to 964 of the family's 3401-position model. The record is from RNAcentral. Lineage: Eukaryota; Fungi; Ascomycota; Sordariomycetes; Hypocreales; Nectriaceae.